This is a long non-coding RNA of Hyalella azteca, 707 nucleotides long. RefSeq lists it as uncharacterized. The transcript has 3 exons. Lineage: Eukaryota; Metazoa; Arthropoda; Malacostraca; Amphipoda; Hyalellidae. The record is from RefSeq and is a predicted model, not a curated record.
ACGAAAAAUUUUAGGAUAUUCAAAACAUUUAGACAGUGUACUAGCAUAAUAUUAUAAGCAAAACAUUUCUUGCAGAAAAUAAUAAUUAGCAUUCAGUACUUAAAUUUAGGAAUAGUAAUACUGAAUGAUGGGCUGUGUGCAAAAUCCAAACUUUGACUGGGAAAAUUGUCUUAAGAAGCUCAUCGAGCUCAAGCAAAGAAGGCACAUCAUCAUCAGAGGUGAUACCACCUCAAAUAUCUAAGAAGAUACAGGUGUCUACAUCGUGUGCCCAUUCAUCUAAUACAUAACGACAUGCGAGUGAUGUUAAUCAAGAUCCUGGCCCUAGAGUUCAGUUCAGAAGAAAGGAAUAAAACCAGCAUUCAAGGCGUUGAAAGCUCAUCAGUGUAUGGUUGAAGAUGUCCUGAUAUCACCACACCCUCAUCAAGCAGCAACAGCGUGCGACAUCAACAAAGAGAUUAGUUUGAAUUGGUUAUACUUACAGCUUUAUUCUAAUUUCAUUCAGACUGACUUAUUGCUAAAAGAUACCGAUAUUUGAGUGUGAUUAUAUAGAACAUAGAUCAUUGGCCGUAGAUCCUCUCGACUCUGUUAGUGUCAAUUCCUCACCUAAUAACCGUUAUUGCUCGCCUCUUGACGCUGUUAUAGUGUUAACUCUCUACCUAAUAACCGUUAUUGCUCGCCUCUCGACGCUGUUAUAGUGUUAAAUCUCU